ACCACAUGACACACCUCGGGCAGGGUUCCUGGAGCCCCAGUUCCCUGGUCUGCAGCUCUUCCUGCUUGAGUGACCCUGCACUGCAGAUGGCAUGGGCCUGGGCCCCUGGUCACAGUGACCCUCCAAGACGAAGAUCUGUGUGGCCCUGUGCUAGCCGAGGACUAUUUCUGGUCCUGCUGUCCACGUGUCCAAGCUCUGAGUGCCACAAGGCUAGAGAGCAGGUGGAAAGCUGGGGACAGCCACAUGUCAGCCUCUGAAUUGGAGGACGUCCUCGGAAUUGGCCCAGCUCCACAGGAUGCCAUAUCCAGUAAGCCCUGGAGACCUCGUGUCACCUACAGACUGGCCUUCUUGCCCAGGGAGAGGCCAUCUCCUCCCAUCUAUAUUUUGUGCUUCUGCAAGGAUGUGAGUGGACAGUGGAAAUUGGGCUGAAUGGCCUGCAUUUACUCUGGCAGGUGAGCAGGCCAUGGGAACUGCACACAUCCCACGCAUUCACUGUGGUGAAUGGAUAAACUGCACCCAGCUGUGGGGGAUUCUGGGAAUGAUUGACAUGCAGCAACAAAGACCCACCCUGGAUGUGGGUGGCACCACCCAAUAGUCGCAUUGCCUGGGCAGGGUAAACAAGUCAGCCGGGAGGAAGUCUGUUCUGUGCUUCUUCUCAAAGGCGACAUCUUGCCCAGGUGUUUGGCUGUGCGUUUCCAGCUCCCUUGGCCACCAGUGCAGGACCUUCGGGUUUCCAGUGAGGACUCGCACAGAUUCUGCCGUGAGCGUCAGGCCUCCAACCUGAAGGGUACCGACGGCUCGCCCAUCUUGUCAUCUGAGCUGUACCCAGCUCUAAGCUAGAGGACCCUCUUGAUUUUGAGGAUUAACACUCUGCAUUUCUGCAAGCUUUUAAAAUUUUGGCCUAAUCCCUUUAUGUCUCGUACGGAUGCAUCCUGAAAAUCCCUCUCCCCAACAGGUGUCCAUGAGCUUGGAACUUAAUUCUAUGCGAAGUGUGGGUUUAGGAGGCUUCUAGGCUCCUGCCUGCUGAUGAAACCUGGAGAGGGAAGCUGAUGGGAAGGAGGUCCCCUUCCUGAGGCCACACUUAUGCCCUGCAGUGUGCCCUGACUCCUGCCACCCUGACGUUGGGACCACUUCCCCCACCUGACACAUGUGAAGGCAGCCUCCUCCGUGUCCACCCGCUGAACUGCUGUGUGGUCCCAGAUACAGGAACCGUAUUUUAGAGCUGAAGAGCAGCUGCAGAGAUUAAGGUGCCAUCGGGGAACAAGACUACAGGAUAUUUGUCUGAGUCCAUGCAGUUUUUUGGUAUUUUCCUACCUGCCACCUUUCCUGUUAUCCCUGUGAAUUUCAGAAGGAAAAGAACACCAGAAGGAGACCACUGCUAAGAAGCAGACAGUGCAGAGGAACUCGAGAAGUGCUCAAUGAAGCAGCCAUGCGAUUUCCAAGCAUCCAAGAAAGGCAAAGUUUAUUUUGCAUACAGGCAUCACCUCCACCUCCACCUGCAAGUAGCCAGCACAGCACAAACCCCUCGGUUGGAAUUGCAGAUGUAGUAGAUUUUCUUCAAGCAACUGGACAUAAACAAUAUGUGACACACACACACACACACACACACAUACACACACACACACACCACGCAAAUACAGAAUCAUGUUCAACUGCUCUGCCGAAGAGAGCUGGGGAUGAGGAGGUUGCCUCCCACAGGGACAGCACGUUACAGUUUACAGUCCACAGCACAGCCAGCACUCUCAACCCCUUUUUGCAAAUGACAAAGCUGAGGCUCAGAGUGGUAUAGACACUUGC
Cavia porcellus (domestic guinea pig) is the source of this 1797-nucleotide long non-coding RNA. RefSeq lists it as uncharacterized. The record is from RefSeq and is a predicted model, not a curated record. Lineage: Eukaryota; Metazoa; Chordata; Mammalia; Rodentia; Caviidae. The transcript has 2 exons.